Molecule: ribosomal RNA, 442 nt
Filed under: uncultured bacterium
Lineage: Bacteria
Description: partial 16S ribosomal RNA
Rfam family: Bacterial small subunit ribosomal RNA
Source: RNAcentral
AGGGAAUCUUCCACAAUGGACGCAAGUCUGAUGGAGCAACGCCGCGUGAGUGAAGAAGGCUUUCGGGUCGUAAAACUCUGUUAUUGAAGAAGAACGUGUGUGACAGUAACUGGUCAUGCAGUGACGGUAUUCAAUCAGAAAGUCACGGCUAACUACGUGCCAGCAGCCGCGGUAAUACGUAGGUGGCAAGCGUUGUCCGGAUUUAUUGGGCGUAAAGCGAGUGCAGGCGGUCUUUUAAGUCUGAUGUGAAAGCCUUCGGCUUAACCGAAGAAGGGCAUCGGAAACUGGGAGACUUGAGUGCAGAAGAGGAGAGUGGAACUCCAUGUGUAGCGGUGAAAUGCGUAGAUAUAUGGAAGAACACCAGUGGCGAAGGCGGCUCUCUGGUCUGUAACUGACGCUGAGGCUCGAAAGCGUGGGUAGCAAACAGGAUUAGAUACCCUGG